UNGGGCAUAAACUGUGCACUGAACUGUCUGC
Molecule: non-coding RNA, 31 nt
Filed under: Homo sapiens (human)
Lineage: Eukaryota; Metazoa; Chordata; Mammalia; Primates; Hominidae
Source: RNAcentral